CCUUCGGGUUAGUGGCGGACGGGUGAGUAACGCGUGAGAAUCUGCCCUCAGGAGGGGGAUAACGGUUGGAAACGGCCGCUAAUACCCCAUAUGCCGAGAGGUGAAAUGAAUUUCGCCUGAGGAUGAGCUCGCGUCUGAUUAGCUAGUUGGUGGGGUAGAGGCCUACCAAGGCGUCGAUCAGUAGCUGGUCUGAGAGGAUGAUCAGCCACACUGGGACUGAGACACGGCACAGACUCCUACGGGAGGCAGCAGUGGGGAAUUUUCCGCAAUGGGCGAAAGCCUGACGGAGCAACGCCGCGUGAGGGAUGAAGGCCUCUGGGCUGUAAACCUCUUUUAUCAAGGAAGAAGAUCUGACGGUACUUGAUGAAUAAGCCACGGCUAAUUCCGUGCCAGCAGCCGCGGUAAUACGGGAGUGGCAAGCGUUAUCCGGAAUUAUUGGGCGUAAAGCGUCCGCAGGCGGCCUUUUAAGUCUGUCGUUAAAGCGUGGAGCUUAACUCCAUUCCUGCGAUGGAAACUGGAAGGCUAGAGUGUGGUAGGGGCAGAGGGAAUUCCCGGUGUAGCGGUGAAAUGCGUAGAUAUCGGGAAGAACACCAGUGGCGAAGGCGCUCUGCUGGGCCAUAACUGACGCUCAUGGACGAAAGCCAGGGGAGCGAAAGGGAUUAGAUACCCCUGUAGUCCUGGCCGUAAACGAUGAACACUA
RNAcentral lists this ribosomal RNA (700 nucleotides) under uncultured cyanobacterium. RNAcentral's name for it is "bacterial SSU rRNA". It matches the Rfam family "Bacterial small subunit ribosomal RNA", at positions 84 to 818 of the family's 1533-position model. Lineage: Bacteria; Bacillati; Cyanobacteriota. The record is from RNAcentral.